CAGUCGCCGCGGGAAAACGUAGGUGGCAAGCGUUGUCCGGAAUUAUUGGGCGUAAAGGGCUCGCAGGCGGUUUCUUAAGUCUGAUGCGAAAGCCCCCGGCUCAACCGGGGAGGGUCAUUGGAAACUGGGAAACUUGAGUGCAGAAGAGGAGAGUGGAAUUCCACGUGUAGCGGUGAAAUGCGUAGAGAUGUGGAGGAACACCAGUGGCGAAGGCGACUCUCUGGUCUGUAACUGACGCUGAGGAGCGAAAGCGUGGGGAGCGAACAGGAUUAGAUACCCCCGUAGUCCCUGUCUCUUAUAA
This 301-nucleotide ribosomal RNA is filed under the name uncultured bacterium. RNAcentral's name for it is "partial 16S ribosomal RNA". It matches the Rfam family "Bacterial small subunit ribosomal RNA", at positions 509 to 809 of the family's 1533-position model. The record is from RNAcentral.